ACUCCGUUAGCAUAAUGGUUGAGUGCACUCGACUUUCUAUCGAAGGAUAGGGGUUCGAUUCCCCUACGGAGUA
Molecule: transfer RNA, 73 nt
Filed under: Fulvivirga imtechensis AK7
Lineage: Bacteria; Pseudomonadati; Bacteroidota; Cytophagia; Cytophagales; Fulvivirgaceae
Rfam family: tRNA
About the family: Transfer RNA (tRNA) molecules are approximately 80 nucleotides in length. Their secondary structure includes four short double-helical elements and three loops (D, anti-codon, and T loops).
Source: Rfam by way of RNAcentral